CCCUCAGCUUACUCUUGCUUUCUUUUAAGUCUGGCCAAAUUGGAAACAUGGCCUUUGCUAUUUCUGCCCUCCUUGCUGCCUGGUCACUUCCUGCAUGCCUCCCUAUCUCUUUUUAAACAUCUUUCCAACUGUUCAGAAAGGCCAGGAGUCCUGGCUGCAAAGGCAGGGACGGGGAUAGGGAAGGCCAUCGUUAUUUCCCUUCUCCCAAACCCCUGUGUCUCCCUGGAGAACCAUCUCCGCUUUCCAUCAAACAGUGCUGUCCCUCCUUCUUCCAGGACUGGGGAGAAGCCUCAUGGCAAUGGGACCGGGGUCUGGCCCCCCAAAUUUCCAGGGUCUGGCCUAAACAUCAGGUCAGCUUUUCUGCAAAAAGAGAGAGGAAGGUCUUACCACAGCAGCUCCACAUUCUUGCGUGGCAGCCCUGAGCUCUGGCCGGACAGUAACGACCUUGGUCAGGAGGCGCGUGUGCUCGGCUCACCUCACCUCUGUCCCCAUCACUCCCCGUUGUGUUCCCAAAAACCAGAGCAAGUUCUGGUUAUAAUUAUGUGUUCAUAUAAUUGCUUUACCCAGAAUAAAGAGAAUUUUAUCUCUCAAAAUCUUUUUCUCUAUCACAAAUCUGAAAAUGAAGGUCUAAGAAGAGCUUAUAUUGGAAUCAAAAAACAGGUAAAGGAGAAUUGCUCUCAGCGGAAUCCGCGGCUGCUGGGUACUUGUCUCUUCCUUGUAAGGGGCCAUAUUGUCCAAACACAAACAUUUCUAUUUUUCUUUUUUGUUCUUCCCUUUUUAAAAAGAUUUAAACUUAAUUAACAUAUAAUGUAUUAUUAGUUUCAGAGGUAGAGAUCAGUUCAUGAGUCUUUUUUUUUUUAAGAUUUUAUUUAUUUAUUUGGCAGACAGAGAUCACAAGUAGGCAGAGAGGCAGGCAGAGAGAGAGGCAGAAGCAGGGGGAGACCCACGGAGCAGAGAGUCUGAUGCGGUGCUCGAUCCCAGGACCUUGGGAUCAUGACCUGAGCCAAAGGCAGAGGCUUUAACCCACUGAGCCACCCAGGCGCCCUCAGUUCAUGAGUCUUAUAUCAUACCCAGAGUUCAUUACAUCAUGUGCCUCCUUAUGUCCAUCACCCAGUUGCCACAUCUAUCCAGCCUCAUCCAGCAACCCUCAAUUUGUUAUCUAUAAUUAAGUGUCUCUUAUGGUUUUCUCCCUCUCUGAUUUCGUCUUAUUUUACUUUUCCCUCCCUUCCCCUAUGCUCCUCUGUUUUGUUUCUUAAAUUCCACAUAUGAGUAAUAUCAAUUGCUGAUUGACUUAUUUCGCUUAGCAUAAUACCCUCCAGUUCCAUCCACAACAUUGCAAAUGGCAGAAUUUCUUUUUUAUGGCUGUGUAAUAGUCCAUUGUAUCUACACGUCACAUCUUCUUUAUUCAUUCAUCAACACAGACAUUUCUGGGAGUGGAAGGGGCAUUCGGGGAUUACACCUGAACACGUCUUAGCCAGGACAUAUGGACAUUCUCUCCUUGGAGUAAUUCAGUGCCUCUGAGGGGCAAAUGUUGCCAUUAUUAGAAAAAUCAAGGACCCGCUGUAAGCCACAGCAGGAAGCACUCUGAAGGCAAGUACUCUGGAAGGUACAGCCCCUGCAGGAGGAAAAGGGAAAGGGCUCCAGGCAGCCUGGGCAUGUCAGGCAACAUGGCAGCAAAUCAUGAACCGAAUCAUGGUACUGAUCAGGUGUGUGUCCCUCUGGCAGUUUCCUGGAUCAGGCAUUACAGGGCCUGACCCCCACUAAGGCUCAGAUCCUCUGACAGCCCCAGGGACCAAUAACCUCAGAGGCAGACUUAUUUAAGCCUUCAGUGGGACAUUGCAUAAAAAUAACCUAGCACAGAGAUGGCACGUAACAGGUGUUUGGUACAUGAGCUUCUCACGGCAAGAGGGUCCCCUCACUGCACUCAGCAUGUACCUUCUCCACCAAGUCUUUCCUGACCCUACCUCACUCGCCCUGGUGAAGCCAAAGUAAGAACUUAGUCUUGGUCUUUCCAUCACUCUCUACUGCACUGACCCUGCACACUGACUGUGUGUCCCCACAAGACCGGGACACCCCCACAGCAGAAAAUACAGCCAUGGUACACAAUAUCAGUUGUUAUGAGAAUCCCCUGGGCCGGGGUCUCCUGGUAUGGGGCGUAGGCAUCAGCAUGGGGUCCAGCUCCCAGCUGAUUGCAAUGUGCAUCCACAGUGGAGAAGCCCUGCUACUCAGAGGACCAGCAGCCUUGACACGGCUGGGAGCUCUUUGAUAAAAUGCAGACUCAGAGCACUCCCGACCAACCUAAUCAGAAUCUGCAUUUUCACAAGAUCUCUGUGACUAGAAAGCACAAGAGAGCCAUCGAAGUGCUGCUAUACCUCCUCCUGCCCCCAGGGCCCAGCAGAGUAGAACUUGCAGUGACUGGAGAAAUGGGGGGGCGGGAGCGGAGGGGGGAUCACGGCAGGUGUUCACUGAUUGGAGGAAGGAAAGAAGGAGGGAAGGAAGUAAGGAAUCUGUGGUGCAGUUUUCAAUGGCCUUGCACACCUAAUAUACCAUGUGCUAUCAUCCAGAGAGUUUCUGAACUUGGGUUCAAAAAAUAAAACCACAAAACAUCCAGGAAUUAAAGACUAAGUUCCCACCCAAGUUGAUAACAACAAAUAGCAGCUGCAAAAUGACUGGGCUUUAAAAGAAAAUAGCCGAUGGUUUUUUAAAGAUUUAUUACUCUUGAGUUCUUCAGCCAUUAGACCUCAAAAUGCACUAAGGUUGUUUUUGGGGGGGGGGUGUGUUUUUGUUUGUCUUGUUUUUUAAAGGAUGGUAAUUUCAAAAGCCAGGAAAUUAGGACUGACCCCCUGGCCAGAGCCAGCCCAUUAGCGUGGUUUAGACACAGGUUCGGGAGGCUGGGGCCAUCAGACGACCCUUCCUUGGCAAAACGGGGCUCGGACAUGAGCUUCUGGGCCAGGAGCCUGUGUGGUCUUGCUCUCCCCUGGCCCCUCCGAGCCUCUCCAGCUGCUGGUUCCACCAUCAGAAAGGGCAGCUGCGGCAGCCAGCAGGAAACUAUAAGGCAGAGGUCAGAAUUGCAGUUUCCAACAUUUUGUCCUCCAGCAGGCUGCUGAGAAAAGGGGGGAUGCUGGGGUUCCCCCACUGGUUGUGCUGGACUCCCGGGGAAACCCCAACCCCACGCCCCAGGCACCCCUACCCUGAGUCUAGGGACUCACAGAUCCCUGCUGCACCGGGGCUCCCCUGUCAUGGUCACUUCCCCUCCUCCUCUUCAUUGGGCUCCUGCCUCCGGGCUCAGGGAAGCGGCUCAUCCUGACCCAGGAGAGGAGCAGAGGAUCUAGCCUCACCAGAAUCUUAGCACCGGAACAGUCUCUGCCUCUGUGUAGGACCACAGGUGAGACAGUUCUUAGAAAGUUCUUCAGGCACAGCUGGGAACUCCUCUCCCAGCAGCAGUUCUGUCCAUUGCAACCACUGCAGGUUCGAGAGAGCAUCUCUGCAGCCCCUGUGUGACUGUGGGCAAGUUAUCUAAGCUCUCCCCCAGUUUCCCUCUUCGUGGAAUAAGACGGUGCCUCCCCGUGGAGUAAAUGAGGCUGUGGAAGCAGGAUGCUGACCCACAGUAGGAGCCCCUGAACUGCUUGAACCUCAUUGCCCCACCCCCACAACUCCAGCCCUGGGUGGAAAGUGAACACUGGCUUCGGCCAGCACUGUGCAUGCGCCUUCCUUCAGUCUUUGUGGUACCCUCCUUGGCUGGCACCGUCAUGAUCCCCAUUUUGCAGGAAAAAUAACUGAGGCUUUGAGCAAUAACUUCUCUGGAAAUUCCCUCAUCUCAAGGUGAAAUCAGAAGAUGGGCGCUCAUGUGAGAGUCAGCCUUCCAAUUUACUACCUGGUUAGCCCCUUCUAUUCUGUUAGACUUAUAUUUGUGCCUUGGCAAAGGACCACAGACUAAAUGGUGUAGAACAACACCCAGUUUUCGGCUCAGGAUUCUGAAAUAAGAAGCCCAGGCAUGAGAUGACUGUGUUCUCUGCUCAGGGCCUAACAAGGCUAAACUCCGGGUGUCAGCAAGCCACACACUCCUGGGGUUGUGGCAGAAUUUAGGUCUUGGAGAUCAGAGGAGGAAGUCCCUGUUUCUUGGCUGGCUGUUAAGGUGGGGGGUGCUGCUGUCA
This 4154-nucleotide long non-coding RNA is filed under the name Mustela putorius furo (domestic ferret). Its description in RNAcentral is "lncRNA (ENSMPUG00000024950.1)". Lineage: Eukaryota; Metazoa; Chordata; Mammalia; Carnivora; Mustelidae. The record is from RNAcentral.